This 465-nucleotide ribosomal RNA is filed under the name Vreelandella stevensii. RNAcentral's name for it is "partial 16S ribosomal RNA". It matches the Rfam family "Bacterial small subunit ribosomal RNA", at positions 338 to 795 of the family's 1533-position model. The record is from RNAcentral. Lineage: Bacteria; Pseudomonadati; Pseudomonadota; Gammaproteobacteria; Oceanospirillales; Halomonadaceae.
CCUACGGGGGGCAGCAGUGGGGAAUAUUGGACAAUGGGGGCAACCCUGAUCCAGCCAUGCCGCGUGUGUGAAGAAGGCCCUCGGGUUGUAAAGCACUUUCAGUGAGGAAGAACGCCUGGUGGUUAAUACCCAUCAGGAAAGACAUCACUCAUAGAAGAAGCACCGGCUAACUCCGUGCCAGCAGCCGCGGUAAUACGGAGGGUGCGAGCGUUAAUCGGAAUUACUGGGCGUAAAGCGCGCGUAGGUGGCUUGAUAAGCCGGUUGUGAAAGCCCCGGGCUCAACCUGGGAACGGCAUCCGGAACUGUCAAGCUAGAGUGCAGGAGAGGAAGGUAGAAUUCCCGGUGUAGCGGUGAAAUGCGUAGAGAUCGGGAGGAAUACCAGUGGCGAAGGCGGCCUUCUGGACUGACACUGACACUGAGGUGCGAAAGCGUGGGUAGCAAACAGGAUUAGAUACCCCAGUAGUC